This 385-nucleotide ribosomal RNA is filed under the name uncultured bacterium. RNAcentral's name for it is "bacterial SSU rRNA". It matches the Rfam family "Bacterial small subunit ribosomal RNA", at positions 29 to 417 of the family's 1533-position model. The record is from RNAcentral.
ACGAACGCUGGCGGCGUGCUUAACACAUGCAAGUCGAGCGGUAAGGCCCUUUCGGGGGUACACGAGCGGCGAACGGGUGAGUAACACGUGGGUGACCUGCCCUUAGCUCUGGGAUAAGCCUGGGAAACUGGGUCUAAUACCGGAUAUGACUCCAUGACGCAUGUUGUGGGGUGGAAAGCCUUGUGCGGCUAGGGAUGGGCCCGCGGCCUAUCAGCUUGUUGGUGGGUGAUGGCCUACCAAGGCGACGACGGGUAGCCGGCCUGAGAGGGCGACCGGCCACACUGGGACUGAGACACGGCCCAGACUCCUACGGGAGGCAGCAGUGGGGAAUCUUGCGCAAUGGGCGAAAGCCUGACGCAGCGACGCCGCGUGGGGAUGACGGCCU